GGGGUAAAGGCUCACCAUGGCGACGAUCGGUAGCCGAACUGAGAGGUUGAUCGGCCGCAUUGGGACUGAGACACGGCCCAGACUCCUACGGGAGGCAGCAGUGGGGGAUAUUGCAUAAUGGGGGAAACCCUGAUGCAGCAAUGCCGCGUGAGGGAAGAAGGUCUUCGGAUUGUAAACCUAAGUAGCCAGGGACGAUAAUGACGGUACCUGGAGAGUAAGCUCCGGCUAACUAC
This 233-nucleotide ribosomal RNA is filed under the name uncultured bacterium. Its description in RNAcentral is "partial 16S ribosomal RNA". It matches the Rfam family "Bacterial small subunit ribosomal RNA", at positions 254 to 504 of the family's 1533-position model. The record is from RNAcentral.